RNAcentral lists this ribosomal RNA (253 nucleotides) under uncultured bacterium. Its description in RNAcentral is "partial 16S ribosomal RNA". It matches the Rfam family "Bacterial small subunit ribosomal RNA", at positions 524 to 776 of the family's 1533-position model. The record is from RNAcentral.
UACGGGGGGAGCAAGCGUUGUUCGGAUUUACUGGGCGUAAAGGGCGCGUAGGCGGUUCGUACAGUCAGACGUGAAAUUCCUGGGCUCAACCUGGGGGCUGCGUUUGAUACGUGCGGGCUUGAGUGCGGAAGAGGGUCGUGGAAUUCCCAGUGUAGAGGUGAAAUUCGUAGAUAUUGGGAAGAACACCGGUGGCGAAGGCGGCGACCUGGUCCGAUACUGACGCUGAGGCGCGAAAGCGCGGGGAGCAAACAGG